RNAcentral lists this ribosomal RNA (350 nucleotides) under uncultured bacterium. Its description in RNAcentral is "bacterial SSU rRNA". It matches the Rfam family "Bacterial small subunit ribosomal RNA", at positions 356 to 723 of the family's 1533-position model. The record is from RNAcentral.
CGGGAAUAUUGGACAAUGGGCGCAAGCCUGAUCCAGCUACGCCAAGUGAGUGAUGAAGGCCUCCGGGUUGUAAAGCUCUGUCGUAAGGGAAGAUAAUGACGGUACCUUACAAGAAAGCACCGGCUAACUCCGUGCCAGCAGCCGCGGUAAUACGGAGGGUGCAAGCGUUACUCGGAAUUACUGGGCGUAAAGCGAGCGCAGGCGGCUUAUUAAGUCAGGUGUGAAAGCCCGGGGCUCAACCCCGGAACUGCACCUGAAACUGGUAAGCUUGAGGAUGAGAGAGGAAAGUAGAAUUUCUGGUGUAGAGGUGAAAUUCGUUGAUAUCAGAAGGAAUACCCGUGGCGAAGGCG